RNAcentral lists this long non-coding RNA (396 nucleotides) under Sorghum bicolor (sorghum). RNAcentral's name for it is "long non-coding RNA (SBIC_LNC018778)". Lineage: Eukaryota; Viridiplantae; Streptophyta; Magnoliopsida; Poales; Poaceae. The record is from RNAcentral.
GCACGUCUUAAUGUUUCAAUCGGGUACCUUUGCCGAUAGUAAGGUCAAAUCGGCUGGCACGCCUUAAUGUUUCAAUCGGGUAUUAGCCCUUUGCGUUUGCAGAUCCACUUUUUGCAUCAACAAUUCCACCCCAAUCUACUCCAACACAUGUGGAUUGAGGUGAAUCUGACAACAUCCAAACAAGGCCUGAUAGAUUUCUUUAUCCAUGUGUGAGCAUAUCCAUGGUGAACAAAUCUUUCCGUACAGGUCUUUUUUAUCAAAAAAAAAAGGAAAAAGAAAAAAAAAAGACUCGACUGCCGCCAAAACAGCGUUUUCCCUCCACUCCAUCCGUGUCUCGCGCUCGAACUGGGCCACGGAAUUUGUUGGGCCCAAUGGCGCAUAUCUUUCGUGGGCGGC